This 426-nucleotide ribosomal RNA is filed under the name Enterococcus casseliflavus. RNAcentral's name for it is "bacterial SSU rRNA". It matches the Rfam family "Bacterial small subunit ribosomal RNA", at positions 28 to 433 of the family's 1533-position model. Lineage: Bacteria; Bacillati; Bacillota; Bacilli; Lactobacillales; Enterococcaceae. The record is from RNAcentral.
GACGAACGCUGGCGGCGUGCCUAAUACAUGCAAGUCGAACGCUUUUUCUUUCACCGGAGCUUGCUCCACCGAAAGAAAAAGAGUGGCGAACGGGUGAGUAACACGUGGGUAACCUGCCCAUCAGAAGGGGAUAACACUUGGAAACAGGUGCUAAUACCGUAUAACACUAUUUUCCGCAUGGAAGAAAGUUGAAAGGCGCUUUUGCGUCACUGAUGGAUGGACCCGCGGUGCAUUAGCUAGUUGGUGAGGUAACGGCUCACCAAGGCAACGAUGCAUAGCCGACCUGAGAGGGUGAUCGGCCACACUGGGACUGAGACACGGCCCAGACUCCUACGGGAGGCAGCAGUAGGGAAUCUUCGGCAAUGGACGAAAGUCUGACCGAGCAACGCCGCGUGAGUGAAGAAGGUUUUCGGAUCGUAAAAACUC